CAUCCUACGGGGGGCAGCAGUGGGGAAUAUUGGGCAAUGGAGGAAACUCUGACCCAGCAACGCCGCGUGAAUGAUGAAGGUCUUCGGAUUGUAAAGUUCUUUUCUAAGGGAAGAAGAAAGUGACGGUACCUUAGGAAUAAGCCUCGGCUAACUACGUGCCAGCAGCCGCGGUAAUACGUAGGGGGCAAGCGUUAUCCGGAUUUACUGGGUGUAAAGGGAGCGCAGACGGCUGUGCAAGUCUGGAGUGAAAGGCGGGGGCCCAACCCCCGGACUGCUCUGGAAACUGUAAAGCUGGAGUGCAGGAG
This 305-nucleotide ribosomal RNA is filed under the name uncultured bacterium. Its description in RNAcentral is "bacterial SSU rRNA". It matches the Rfam family "Bacterial small subunit ribosomal RNA", at positions 335 to 654 of the family's 1533-position model. The record is from RNAcentral.